ACAGUGGUAGUUCAGUGGUAGAAUUAUUGCCUUCUAAGCUGGAGAUCCAGGUUCAAGUCCCAGCCAUUGCA
RNAcentral lists this transfer RNA (71 nucleotides) under Loxodonta africana (African savanna elephant). It matches the Rfam family "tRNA". Rfam says of the family: Transfer RNA (tRNA) molecules are approximately 80 nucleotides in length. Their secondary structure includes four short double-helical elements and three loops (D, anti-codon, and T loops). The record is from Rfam by way of RNAcentral. Lineage: Eukaryota; Metazoa; Chordata; Mammalia; Proboscidea; Elephantidae.